GGAAGGUUGGCCGAGUGGUCGAAGGCACCUGACUGAUACUCAGGCAGGCGGGGAACCGUCUCGAGGGUUCGAAUCCCUCCCCUUAUUC
This 88-nucleotide transfer RNA is filed under the name compost metagenome. RNAcentral's name for it is "tRNA-Ile". It matches the Rfam family "tRNA". Rfam says of the family: Transfer RNA (tRNA) molecules are approximately 80 nucleotides in length. The record is from RNAcentral.